RNAcentral lists this ribosomal RNA (81 nucleotides) under Leuconostoc carnosum. Lineage: Bacteria; Bacillati; Bacillota; Bacilli; Lactobacillales; Lactobacillaceae. The record is from RNAcentral.
UGUCGUAUUGAUAGCAUAGAGGACACACCUGUUCCCAUCCCGAACACAGAAGUUAAGCUCUAUCACGCCGAAAGUAGUUGC